UGGGGAAUAUUGGACAAUGGGCGAAAGCCUGAUCCAGCCAUGCCGCGUGUGUGAAGAAGGUCUUCGGAUUGUAAAGCACUUUAAGUUGGGAGGAAGGGCAGUAAGCGAAUACCUUGCUGUUUUGACGUUACCGACAGAAUAAGCACCGGCUAACUCUGUGCCAGCAGCCUCGGUAAUACAGAGGGUGCAAGCGUUAAUCGGAAUUACUGGGCGUAAAGCGCGCGUAGGUGGUUCGUUAAGUUGAAUGUGAAAGCCCCGGGCUCAACCUGGGAACUGCAUCCAAAACUGGCGAGCUAGAGUAGGGCAGAGGGUGGUGGAAUUUCCUGUGUAGCGGUGAAAUGCGUAGAUAUAGGAAGGAACACCAGUGGCGAAGGCGACCACCUGGGCUCAUACUGACGCUGAGGUGCGAAAGCGUGGGGAGCAAACAGG
Molecule: ribosomal RNA, 429 nt
Filed under: Pseudomonadota bacterium
Lineage: Bacteria; Pseudomonadati; Pseudomonadota
Description: Proteobacteria bacterium partial 16S ribosomal RNA
Rfam family: Bacterial small subunit ribosomal RNA
Source: RNAcentral